CCAUAAGAUGACCUCCUUUUGUGCCUCUCCGAUUAGCUUUUCAUUUAGUUCCAGCUUAAUGGUGUUUUCGAAAAGAUGUGCCUCCACUAAUCCGUUUGUGGUUAUGACGAGGGGUAGGAUUGAUGUAGAGUAUCACAAUAUCCGGCCGGUUGUGCGCAAUGGGUCUGUCAGUGACGAGUGGAUGGUCCCAAUACAGUUUCAUCUCCUCAUUUUCCAGUAUUUCUUUAGGGCGAUGGCUUGGUGGUAUGCCUUUGCCAUGGCAUUGUGGCGGUCCGUGUAUUCCCUUGGAGCGAGGAUGGGGCAGGAUGACGUGACGUGUUGGAUUGUUUCAGUCGCCUGGGAGCAUUUGCGGCAUUUGUCAUUAGGUAAGUUCUUAUUCAUUAUCUGUUUUUGAUAUGCUUUUGUAGGUAUCACCUGAUCCUGAAUUGCCGCCAGUCUGCCCUCCGUUUCUGGAAACAGGGCGGUGGGGUAUCUUCCAUGGAGAGCUUUGCCGUGCCAUAUUUCGGAUAGUUCUUCGAUGCUUUUAGGUUCAAUGGGAUGGUUGCUUGAUGCCAGAUUUAAUGCUGUGAUGUUGUUGUCUUCAUCAGAUAUGGCUUUGAAAAAAGGUGAGUUUUUUGAUCUGAAGUAUUCUCUCAUCUCGCGUACUACUCGGUGGUGUGUGGAUUCAAUGUUUUGCAGUCCCCUUCCUCCAUCUUGUCUGGGCACGUAUAAUCUGUUCACAGAAGCGUGGGGGUGGUGCAUGCCAUAUUUUGUCAGUGAUACUCUUAUUUGUGUGUCGAUGGCCCUGAGGUCUGUGACGGACCAUUUUAUUAUUCCGAACGAGUAAGAUAAGCAAGGAAUAGCCCAUGUGCUGAUAGCUGUAAAUGUUGAUUUAGCAUUUAAUUUGCUUUUCAGUAUCAUUUUCAGCCUUUCCAUGAACUUGUUUCUGAAAGUUGUUUUGGCUUCAGUAUUCCUUAUUUCUAGCCCUUGUUGGAUGCCUAGGUAUUUAUAGGAUUCAUCUGGCCCUAGUCUUUGAAUUCUUAGUUCGUCUUCUACAAGCAUCGCUUCUCCAGUUAUGAGUUUUCCCCUUUUAAUAUGCAGCACUGCGCAUUUAUCAAGUCCCAUUUGCAUCUUGA
This is an RNA transcript of Coccinella septempunctata (seven-spotted ladybird), 1115 nucleotides long. RefSeq lists it as uncharacterized. Lineage: Eukaryota; Metazoa; Arthropoda; Insecta; Coleoptera; Coccinellidae. The record is from RefSeq and is a predicted model, not a curated record. The transcript has 4 exons.